GCUAAGUCUGUGAUGCAGCCCUUUAAUCCCGCUGUGUCUGACGUCCAUAGUGGAGAACAAUCGCCUGGGGCUCCAGACGACACCCAACACAAAGGUUCAAGUCGGGAUUCCUUGCCCUCUGCCUCUGCGUCGACUGUUGGGAUUCUCGCCAAAGCUGUGGAGCCAUUCACUCAGAGCAAUGGGUUACAUGAAGAUGACAGCUCUACCAGCGCAGAAGAACGACCUUCAAGUCAGUGGAGCACGAAGCUUGACCAACCAGUUCAGCAAAGACAGGAGCCUCUGCACAGCCAGCAACAUUAUGAUGAGGAAAUUGUGAUUGAUUCCUCUGAAGGAGAACGACCUCCUGAUGCCUAUGUGGACAGUUCAGAUAAUGAUGAAACUGUCCCUGUCCCGCCUGUAAGCCAAACCACCAGGUCCUUGGGUGAAGUUACAGACUUAGAUGUUUUGGGCAGUGAGGCGGAGUUCAGGGAUAUUCUUAAAUCUCAGUUUGUUUUGUCACUCUUUGUCAAUGACCAUAAUAUCAGUUUAUCUGACAAAGAUGUUGACGUGGAUUCAGGUCUCGGCAGUGACAUCGCUCAUCAGAACUCACCUUUACAUAAUAUUAGACCAAUUAGAUAUCCAUCUCAGCCAUCUCUUGAAGAAAUCGCUUUUAGUCCAGUUCCACACUUACAGGAGAAUAGUCCCAUCUCAGAUUCAGAAUCCCUGCCUGUUGAUGGCCAGGCCACCAGGUCCUUGGGUGUAAAUGCAGACUUAGAUGUCUCAUGUGGUGAGAAGCUUCUUCCCAAAGCCUUGAGGGACAUGGCUAAAUCAAACUUUGUCAAAUCCUACACUGCAACCAGUUUAUUUGACGAGACCUGGAUUGUUUCAACUCUUGAGGGCUUUAGAGAAAGUACUGCAGUAUUAGAAGCAAAGAAACUAAUGAGUGACUUUUCCUACAGCGAGGAAAUCCGCCUUAGUUCAGCAAAUGUUGAUGCAUGCUGUGGUUUCUGGGGAGUAUGUGAUGAGAUGGACAAAACCGAUGCAGCUGGUCCAAGUGGUUUAAGUCGCCAGUCCGACAGUCCGAUAUCAAUAAUUG
This 1075-nucleotide long non-coding RNA is filed under the name Neogobius melanostomus (round goby). RNAcentral's name for it is "lncRNA (ENSNMLG00000017490.1)". The record is from RNAcentral. Lineage: Eukaryota; Metazoa; Chordata; Actinopteri; Gobiiformes; Gobiidae.